This 754-nucleotide long non-coding RNA is filed under the name Equus caballus (horse). Its description in RNAcentral is "lncRNA (ENSECAG00000059334.1)". Lineage: Eukaryota; Metazoa; Chordata; Mammalia; Perissodactyla; Equidae. The record is from RNAcentral.
GGGAAAGGGGUUUUUCAGGAAGAAGAGAGUGGGAAGCGAGAGCAGGACUGGUUCCUUGCCUUAGUAAUGACAGGAAGCAAAUGACCCAUGAGACUGAAACUGCACAGAUUCUGAGGCCUGCACGUGGGGAGCUAUGCGAAUUUUAUUUGAAGCACUGUGAGCUUCCAGAAUGCUGGACACAUUCACAUUCUGUUUGUUGAUGAUGUGUGCCAUAGUCACAGUUACUAGUGAAGAAAAUCAAAAACUGACAGCUGUGAAAGCCAUUGGCCUAACACUACCCAUAUUUCACCCUCUGAUGUCUAAAAACAAUGCAGCAGGACAUGCUGCUUUCUUCAUCGUGACUGAAACAAUCAGUGCAUCAGCAGCAAUCUGAGCACGUGUUUCGGCUGGUUCCAGGUUGAUGGCCAUCCUGCCUUGCUUUGAGGGUAUUAUGGCAACAACUGAUGGGGUGCUUUUUGGAGGCAGUUUGGUUUUCUCACUGUCACCACUGUCAGUAACAAUAUUGGAAUUCUUCAGGCUGCAUGCUUCAGAUGUGACUUGAUGUAUUUCUGUGGCCCCCCUCACCUCAGGACAGUGAGCCAAUGUUUACCAAAAAUUCUUAUCAAACACCCUCGAUGGAACAGUGCCAUGCAAAGGUGCAUUGGGAGGCCUACUAGUGGGCAAAGAGCUGGAAAUGAGAAGACCUGAAUGAAUGACAUAGAGCCCUGGCAUAGCUACUGAAGACAUGAGAGUGAGCAUUUCCACUGUAAACCCA